Gadus morhua (Atlantic cod) is the source of this 2896-nucleotide long non-coding RNA. Lineage: Eukaryota; Metazoa; Chordata; Actinopteri; Gadiformes; Gadidae. The record is from Ensembl.
AAUGAAUAUUAAUCAGACAACACACCUGAGAAUAAUUAAUAAAAUCACGAGUAAACUGUCGUCCAAACUAUAUAUGACACAUAGUUCAGAUCAGAGUUUAGGCGAAACAACAUUUUAACUCAAACAACAUGCUACGCCAGAUUCUAAACAAGUCCACCCAUUAAAAGAUCUGGGCUCCAAAUGUACAGUCCAAGCAUUUUUUUUCGAGACUACACAGCACUAAAAAUUGAUCCAUUCAUGAGAGCCACCAGACAAUUGUAAUCAAAUUCAUCGUCAUCUGCCAGAUUCUUUCUAUUAACAAAGAUCUGAAGCUCAUUUGAGCAGGUGUGAGCAAUGAGGUGGUGCUUCGUGUCAUCAUGAACAAAAGUCCGUUUUGGACUGGGAGAAAAUCCAAUUGCAGGAACUUUGCUGCUUCCCGUUGCAAAGGCUAGGCUGUGUCCAGGAUUCAAUGUCAGGAUAAACGCAUUUUCUGCCUCAGUGAGGUUCCUGCCGUUAAGAUGUUCCCCAAGCUCCUUCUCUACAAGGUUGAAAAGUUUCAGAACAAAAGAAUAUAUAUAGACAUUACAAUUUUAUCUACAAAACAGAAUUGUCAUAUAGCUUGACUUCAAAAUAUGUUGCAUAUUCUUGAAGAAAGUUGUCCAAUCCCGGGUUGCUUUACUUUAACUCACUUUAUUUGUUAUAAAGUCGGCAUGUUUCGGUAUGGUAAAUGGAGACUACGGAGGGAAUUGUAUCUAACGCGUGUGAGAGGAAAAUACCGUGAUCUACUUCAAGCCCCCCGGGCUAAGGCCCGGGUGGCUUUCUGCGCCGUCUACCUAUUGAUCUCUGGCCUGUUCACUCGACGUCCUCCGUACAGGACGUCAAGUGGGUGUGGCCUAUGCAGUGGGCGUGGCCUAGUGGGCGUGGCCGGGGUGACGUUGUGGCUUCGGCUUCUUCACUUAAUUAAAGGUGAAGAGGGAGCAGCCUUCAAUAAGGUCUUGCUCCCCUUGUGGCUAUGUGAGGGAAUUGUAUCUAACGCGUGUGAGAGGAAAAUACCGUGAUCUACUUCAAGCCCCCGGGCUUAGGCCCGGGGUAGCUCUCUACCAUCUACCUAUUGAUCUCUGGCCUCUCGAGUUCGAAACCACCCGCUAGCGAGGACGUCAAGUGGGCGUGGCCUAGUGGGCGUGGCCGGGGUGGCGUAAAGGCUUCGGCUCCUUCUGUGGUGGAGCAGCCUUCAAUAAGGUCUUGCUCCCCUUGUGGCUAUGUGAGAGAAAUGCAGCUUCUUAAAAUACUUAUCACAUAUCACUAGAAAGAGUAUGAACGUGUCUAAACUAAUAAAAACAAAAGUGACGCCUUGACACAAAGACUAAAACUAGAAUGGAAACAGGCCGCCAAAAACAGCUGUAGUAGCAAACGUGAUAAACCUGCCUUAACCGACGUUAGAGCAUCGUGUGCGCUUGAAGGAAGAACCAUGAAUUCGACCGGAUGUAGGAUUCGUAAGCUGUGGAAGACCGCCUUCCCAGCCGUUUGAUAGACGCGACCGGCAACCCUUGUUCAGCGGCUGUGGUUGCCGCUCCAAUCCGGAAGGAGUGGCCAAUGUAGAGGGGAGAUGGUGGGCCGCACCCUUCUACCACCGUCGCGAGAUUGACUCUGAACCACCCUUUAGUCAUUGGCAGGCCGCAAAUAAACAGGUGAUUCGGGGACGUGCGUUGCCGAAGCUUGAGAUAAAGGAACAUGGAAGCACAGAGAGUUGUUGAUUCUUGAAAUGAUAAUAGUAACAGCUACUCCUAGGCUAUCGCUUUUAGAUGAAAAAUGCCUUGCAGAGAAGGUGACAUCAGCGAAAUUCAGACACAAGGAGUUAACCGAACAGUGCACGGUAUAAAGAUAAUUAUGAACCUUUGAUUGCGAACGUAGAGUUCUGUGUUGUACCACACCGACGUGUGCAACGAACUCAACAAAUUCAACCGGAUGUAAAAUCCGUAUGCUGUGGAAGACCACCUUCCUAGCCGUUUUGACGCUGCUUUGUUAUCGCAAAACAUGGUUAUACGUUAACGCCGCCAUGCUUUGCCCCACACAACGCUAGCUGCUACGAUAGGGUAAAGCUCGAACAGCACAGACGACUCUGACCCUAGGGCGAACGUACCAGCUUCGACUGGCCAUCCCUCAGCAACCAUUGCCCUUGGAAGAAACCCCCUAACCCAACCGAGGGAGCCGCAUCCUGAAGCUGGACUGGUAGAGCUGUGAGAGAAAAUACGCUGCAGGGGCUAACGCGGGGACUGCAGUAGCCAUGGUAGCAGGGCACGUGCCAGGUGCGUAGCCUGUGAAGGCGGAGGAAGCCGAGCCUGAUGGUUUCUGGAAGUAGAAAGGCGCCGUGGCGACCGACGACAGCGGGUUGGGGGCCUGGACCCGUCCGGGAGUUCCGCAUGGCGUUUCGACGGCGUCCAUCCUGGCGCCAAUGCUUUGCACCAACUCGGCGAGGGUUUGUAGAACCAGGCGGAUGUCCGUGUUGGGAACUUGUUGGUGGUGUUGUUGAGGAUACCGGGGACCGAAAAGAACGGCUUUCUGCGCUCGCUUGCCGGGACCAGAAGUAGUAGGCCGACCAGCACGAAUCCGAAGUUAUGACCUCUUGGUGUGUAUUAACCGACGUAGCAACUAAGCGACGAGAUAUGCGAGAUAAUCAGAAGCACAGUAAAGCAGCAGCAUGCGUCGAACGAAGACCUGAGCAGGAAAGACAUAUGUUAGACUACUCUUUAUAGAGCAGGUGUAGGCAGGUGAUUGGUAGCUGGUGAUUGGUGAUUGGCGGCCAGCCGCGCGUGAUUUGAGUCCUCCUGGUAGAACUACCAGCAAGCUUAACAUUUCUCAUCUACUGCUAACGUUAACGGUUAUCUAGCAGUUACACUGCAGUUAGCUACAUACCGGC